GAUGAACGCUGGCGGCGUGCUAACACAUGCAAGUCGAACGAGAGAAGAUCGGUGCUUGCACUGAUCCGAUCGAGUGGCGGACGGGUGAGUAACGCGUGGGUAACCUGCCUCAUACAGGGGAAUAACAGUUGGAAACGGCUGCUAAAACCGCAUAAGCGCACAGUAUCGCAUGAUACAGUGUGAAAAACUCCGGUGGUAUGAGAUGGACCCGCGUCUGAUUAGCUAGUUGGUGAGGUAACGGCCCACCAAGGCAACGAUCAGUAGCCGGCCUGAGAGGGUGAACGGCCACAUUGGGACUGAGACACGGCCCAAACUCCUACGGGAGGCAGCAGUGGGGGAUAUUGCACAAUGGGGGAAACCCUGAUGCAGCGACGCCGCGUGAGUGAUGAAGUAUUUCGGUAUGUAAAGCUCUAUCAGCAGGGAAGAUAAUGACGGUACCUGACUAAGAAGCACCGGCUAAAUACGUGCCAGCCGCCGCUGUAA
Molecule: ribosomal RNA, 483 nt
Filed under: uncultured bacterium
Lineage: Bacteria
Description: partial 16S ribosomal RNA
Rfam family: Bacterial small subunit ribosomal RNA
Source: RNAcentral